AACGAACGCUGGCGGCAGGCUUAACACAUGCAAGUCGAGCGCCCCGCAAGGGGAGCGGCAGACGGGUGAGUAACGCGUGGGAACGUACCCUUCGGUUCGGAACAACUCAGGGAAACUUGGGCUAAUACCGGAUACGUCCGUGAGGAGAAAGAUUUAUCGCCGAAGGAUCGGCCCGCGUUGGAUUAGCUAGUUGGUGGGGUAAUGGCCUACCAAGGCGACGAUCCAUAGCUGGUCUGAGAGGAUGAUCAGCCACACUGGGACUGAGACACGGCCCAGACUCCUACGGGAGGCAGCAGUGGGGAAUAUUGGACAAUGGGCGAAAGCCUGAUCCAGCCAUGCCGCGUGAGUGAUGAAGGCCCUAGGGUUGUAAAGCUCUUUCAGUGGGGAAGAUAAUGACGGUACCCACAGAAGAAGCCCCGGCUAACUUCGUG
This 431-nucleotide ribosomal RNA is filed under the name uncultured bacterium. Its description in RNAcentral is "bacterial SSU rRNA". It matches the Rfam family "Bacterial small subunit ribosomal RNA", at positions 29 to 507 of the family's 1533-position model. The record is from RNAcentral.